Molecule: non-coding RNA, 92 nt
Organism: Mycena leptocephala
Lineage: Eukaryota; Fungi; Basidiomycota; Agaricomycetes; Agaricales; Mycenaceae
Source: the annotation of a GenBank genome assembly
GGCAGUAUGGUGUAAUGAUGCACACAGGAUUUGCUUAAGGGUGGAAGUGCAGAACAUAUUCCUAAGCCCUUGUUCGAGUCAAGGUACUGCUC